UUAUCAUUGCACCACAGUGCAACGUCGUGUCGCCCAAAUAACCUUUAAAAUCUAAUUUUUUAACACAAUUUUUGACUUUUAGUGGUAUUUAAAGUACUUAAAAUGUAUUCUGUUAUGUUUUUGUCAAGGAUUACAGUUUUUUUUCGUAUCACUUUCUUUGUUUGACGCCAUAUUGGAUCCGCGAGAUGAUACUAAGGAAAGCUGAAUUUCAAGUACUGCUAAAUACUAAAUGGAGCAAAGCUGAAAUACUGUUAUCUUCAAUUCACCACAAUCUGAAAAAUGAAGUCGGUGAACUAAGGU
Helicoverpa armigera (cotton bollworm) is the source of this 300-nucleotide long non-coding RNA. RefSeq lists it as uncharacterized. The record is from RefSeq and is a predicted model, not a curated record. The transcript is spliced from 3 exons. Lineage: Eukaryota; Metazoa; Arthropoda; Insecta; Lepidoptera; Noctuidae.